Long non-coding RNA from Sapajus apella (tufted capuchin), 162 nucleotides. RefSeq lists it as uncharacterized. NCBI's taxonomy places the organism in Eukaryota, Metazoa, Chordata, Mammalia, Primates, Cebidae. The record is from RefSeq and is a predicted model, not a curated record. The transcript is spliced from 3 exons.
UGCUGCUGGAAGCUGGUCCGCACUGUCGUGAGCCCAGCUGGGCAACGUUUGCGCUGCCAGAUGCAGAGCAGUCGUGGCUAGCGAUUGUGGUCGUAAAGGCGAAUGGUCGUAAGCUGCAUAGGUCAUGGGUCGAUCAAUACCUGUAUUUACAUUGAUAAGAAA